RNAcentral lists this ribosomal RNA (488 nucleotides) under uncultured bacterium. Its description in RNAcentral is "bacterial SSU rRNA". It matches the Rfam family "Bacterial small subunit ribosomal RNA", at positions 28 to 507 of the family's 1533-position model. The record is from RNAcentral.
GAUGAACGCUAGCGAUAGGCCUAACACAUGCAAGUCGAGGGGCAUCACAUGAAGUAGCAAUACGGAUGGUGGCGACCGGCGCACGGGUGAGUAACACGUAUGCAACCUGCCUUCAACAAGGGGAUAACCCGUUGAAAGACGGACUAAUACCCUAUAACACAGGGGUCCCGCAUGGGGAUAUUUGUUAAAGGACAACCGGUUGAAGAUGGGCAUGCGUUCCAUUAGCUAGUUGGCGGGGUAACGGCCCACCAAGGCAACGAUGGAUAGGGGAACUGAGAGGUUUAUCCCCCACACUGGUACUGAGACACGGACCAGACUCCUACGGGAGGCAGCAGUGAGGAAUAUUGGUCAAUGGACGCAAGUCUGAACCAGCCACGUCGCGUGAAGGAAGACGGCCCUACGGGUUGUAAACUUCUUUUAACGGGAAUAAAGUGCCCCACGCGUGGGGUUUUGCAUGUACCGUAUGAAUAGCCCCGGCUAACUUCGUG